This is a long non-coding RNA of Saccostrea cuccullata (small rock oyster), 345 nucleotides long. RefSeq lists it as uncharacterized. The transcript has 3 exons. Lineage: Eukaryota; Metazoa; Mollusca; Bivalvia; Ostreida; Ostreidae. The record is from RefSeq and is a predicted model, not a curated record.
AAAAAUGUGGCGACUAAGAAACACUUAAUGUCAACAAGAUUUUCUGAUUGACAAGAGAAAAGGUCAAACAGGAACUUCAAUUGUGAACAUUGCAGAGAACACACCCAUUAGAAGAUGACCCUCAGAAAUAGGACAAUUAAUGAAUAAAAUGGACAGAGGCAGAACUGAAGGAGAUGCAUGAAAUGAGGAAUAUUUCAAAGAUUGCCUGAGCAUAACCACUGCUACUGGAUAAACAUAUGGCAAUAUAAAAGAGCAGGGUCAAUGGAGGUAUCAUACAGUAUAGGCCAUGGGAGACCCUGAAGAAGAAAGUAUUGAACAGAAACACAAAUAAAACCAUUUUGACAU